RNAcentral lists this unclassified non-coding RNA (329 nucleotides) under soil metagenome. RNAcentral's name for it is "partial contains 5.8S ribosomal RNA, internal transcribed spacer 2, and large subunit ribosomal RNA". The stretch from base 1 to 120 matches the Rfam family "5.8S ribosomal RNA", at positions 35 to 154 of the family's 154-position model. The record is from RNAcentral.
GAUGAAGAACGUAGCGAAAUGCGAUAAGUAAUGUGAAUUGCAGAAUUCAGUGAAUCAUCGAAUCUUUGAACGCACAUUGCGCCCCUUGGUAUUCCGAGGGGCAUGCCUGUUCGAGCGUCAUUAUAACCCCUCAAGCUCAGCUUGGUGUUGGGGCCUGCUGCACUGGCAGCCCUUAAAAUCAGUGGCGGCGCCAUCUGGCUCUAAGCGUAGUAAUUCUUCUCGCUAUGGAGUCCUGGUGGAUGCUUGCCAUCAACCCCCAAUUUUUCUAUGGCUGACCUCGGAUCAGGUAGGGAUACCCGCUGAACUUAAGCAUAUCAAUAAGCGGAGGA